RNAcentral lists this ribosomal RNA (2913 nucleotides) under Mycoplasmataceae bacterium. Its description in RNAcentral is "23S ribosomal RNA". It matches the Rfam family "Bacterial large subunit ribosomal RNA". Lineage: Bacteria; Bacillati; Mycoplasmatota; Mollicutes; Mycoplasmatales; Mycoplasmataceae. The record is from RNAcentral.
AAAUAAGUUACAAAGGGCUUAUGGUGGAUUCCUUGGGACUGAUUGACGAUGAAGGUCGUGCCAAUCUGCGAAAAGUUACGGGGAGCCGAUAAGGGGCAACAAUCCGUAAAUGACCGAAUGGGGAAACCCACUUAAUAGAGAUAUUAAGUAUCGUUAAAUGAAUUCAUAGUUUAACGAAGUGAUACCCUCUGAAGUGAAACAUCUCAGUAGGAGGAGGAAAAGAAAACAACGUGAUUCCGUCAGUAGCGGCGAGCGAAAGCGGAACAGGCCAAACCAGAAUUCGUUCUGGGGUUUUGGGCUACAAUGUAGAAGUAAGAUAUAUAGGAGAACAAGUUGGGAAGCUUGGCAAUAAAGGGUGAUAGCCCCGUAUCCGAAAUGUAUUUUAUACUUAGUAGUACCCCGAGUACGUCGAAACACGUGAAAUUUUGACCGAAAACAGCGCGACCAUGCGCUAAGCCUAAAUACAAAUCAGUCACCGAUAGCGUAUAGUACCGUGAGGGAAAGGUGAAAAGAACCCAGAGAUGGGAGUGAAAUAGAACAUGAAACCAUAUGCCUACAACGAGUUAGAGCCCAUUAAUGGGUGAUAGCGUGCGUUUUGAAGUAUGAGCCGGCGAGUUAUUGUUGCAUGCAAGGUUAAGUUUUAGAAACGGAGCCGAAGCGAAAGCGAGUCUGAAUAGGGCGAAUUAGUAUGUAACAAUAGACCCGAAACGGGAUGAUCUAGUCAUGAGCAGGUUGAAGGUAGAGUAACAUCUAUUGGAGGACCGAACCCACUUUCGUUGAAACGACAGGGGAUGACUUGUGACUAGCGGUGAAAUUCCAAUCGAAUUCCGUGAUAGCUGGUUCUCAUCGAUAUAAUUUUAGGAUUAGCGUUAGAUUAUUGACAAUGUGGAGGUAAAGCUCUGACUGACUGAUGGCGCCAUCUAGGCGUACUGAUUUCAAUUAAACUCUGAAUGCCAUAUUGUCUAUUCUAGCAGUCAGACUGUGGGGGAUAAGCUUCAUAGUCGUGAGGGAAAGAGCCCAGAUCAUUAGCUAAGGUCCCAAAUUUACACUAAGUGGAAAAGGAUGUUGAGAAUCUUAAACACCAAGGAUGUUGGCUUAGAAGCAGCCAUCGUUUAAAGAGUGCGUAACAGCUCACUUGUCGAGAUUCUCUGCGCCGAAGAUUCAACGGGGCUAAGUGUAAAACCGAAGCUAUGGGAUUAAAAUAAAUUUAUUUAUUUUAAUCGGUAGAUGAGCGUUGUAUUCUGCAAUGAAGGUAAAGUGUGAACAUUACUGGAGCGUAUACAAGUGAGAAUGCCGGCGUGAGUAACGAAUGAAAGUGAGAAUCUUUCAAGCCGAAUUGACUAAGAUUUCCAGGACUAGGGUCGUCCUUCCUGGGUUAGUCGGAACCUAAGGUGAGGCCAAGCGGCGUAACCGAUGGAAAACAAGUUAAUAUUCUUGUACUAGGCAGGUGAAUGAUGGAGUAACGGAGGAGGUUAUUACAGGCCAGUUAAUGGAUUCUGGUCUAAGUGUUUAGUUUUGUCAACUGUCAAAUGCGUUGACUAUAAGAACAAGACACGAAUGCGUUGAACACUUCGGUAAGUAAACAAGCUGUAUAUAUCACACUUCCAAGAAAAACUUCUAGUAUUAAUCACCUAUCUAUCCGUAUUGAGAACGAACACACGUGGUCAAGGAGAAUAUCCUAAGGCUAGCGAGUUAACUAUUGUUAAGGAACUCUGCAAAUUAACCCCGUACGUUAGCAAUAAGGGGUGCUCAGUUAAUGAGCCUCAGUAAAGAGCGAGUGGGAACUGUUUAACAAAAACACAGCUUUAUGCUAAGUCGUAAGACGAUGUAUAUGAGGUGACGCCUGCCCAGUGCUGGAAGGUUAAAGAAGUGGGUUAGCAGCAAUGCGAAGCCCGUGACUGAAGCCCCAGUGAACGGCGGCCGUAACUAUAACGGUCCUAAGGUAGCGAAAUUCCUUGUCGGGUAAAUUCCGUCCCGCUUGAAUGGCGUAAUCAUCUCUUGACUGUCUCGACAAUAGACUCGGUGAAAUCCUGGUAUGGGUGAAGACGCCCAUUUGGUGCGAUUGGACGGAAAGACCCCAUGAAGCUUUACUGUAACUUAAUAUUGUGAAAACAUGUUGUAUUUAGAGCAUAGGCGGGAGACUUUGAAUGAUAGGCGCUAGUUUAUCAGGAGUCACCAGUGUAAUACCGCCAUUACAACAUCUUUUCGCUAACUUAUAUCAGUCAUCCUGAUAAAGGACAGUGUUAGGCGGGCAGUUUGACUGGGGCGGUCGCCUCCCAAAAUGUAACGGAGGCGCGCAACGGUACCCUCAGCACGGUUGGAAAUCGUGUCUUGAGCGUAAUGGUAUAAGGGUGCUUGACUGCGAGACUUACUAGUCGAGCAGGGAAGAAAUUCGGUCAUAGUGAUCCGGCGGUUCUGAAUGGAAAGGCCGUCGCUCAACGGAUAAAAGCUACUCUGGGGAUAACAGGCUGAUACUAUCCAAGAGUUCAUAUCGACGAUAGUGUUUGGCACCUCGAUGUCGACUCAUCUCAUCCUGGGGCUGUAGUAGGUCCCAAGGGUUCGGCUGUUCGCCGAUUAAAGAGAUACGUGAGUUGGGUUCAAACCGUCGUGAGACAGGUUGGUCCCUAUCUGUCGUACCCGCAGGAAGAUUGAGAAGAGCUGCUCCUAGUACGAGAGGAUCGGAGUGGAGAUACCUCUAAUGUUUCAGUUGUUUUGCCAAAAGCACAGCUGGGUAGUUACGUAUCGUCAGGAUAAACGCUGAAAGCAUAUAAGCGUGAAACCUUCUUCAAGAUAAAUCUUCCAUCCCCGCAAGGGGUUAAGAAUCGUUGUAGACUACAACGUUGAUAGGAUGCAUGUGUAAGCAGAGCGAUCUGUUAAGCUGAGCAUUACUAAUAAUUCGAGAUACUUUUUUAA